GCUGGGCAGAUAGCUCAGUUGGUAGAACAUGAGCCCCUUAAUCUCAGAGUUGUGGGUUCAAGCCCCAUGUUGAGCG
This 76-nucleotide transfer RNA is filed under the name Podarcis lilfordi (Lilford's wall lizard). RNAcentral's name for it is "tRNA.Lys". Lineage: Eukaryota; Metazoa; Chordata; Lepidosauria; Squamata; Lacertidae. The record is from RNAcentral.